RNAcentral lists this transfer RNA (72 nucleotides) under Danionella translucida. It matches the Rfam family "tRNA". Rfam says of the family: Transfer RNA (tRNA) molecules are approximately 80 nucleotides in length. Their secondary structure includes four short double-helical elements and three loops (D, anti-codon, and T loops). The record is from Rfam by way of RNAcentral. Lineage: Eukaryota; Metazoa; Chordata; Actinopteri; Cypriniformes; Danionidae. RNAcentral also lists the same sequence under 1 other name.
GGCUCGUUGGUCUAGGGGUAUGACUCUCGCAUCGGAUGCGAGAGGUCCCGGGUUCAAACCCCGGACGAGCCC